This 257-nucleotide ribosomal RNA is filed under the name uncultured bacterium. RNAcentral's name for it is "partial 16S ribosomal RNA". It matches the Rfam family "Bacterial small subunit ribosomal RNA", at positions 524 to 776 of the family's 1533-position model. The record is from RNAcentral.
UACGAAGGGGGCUAGCGUUGUUCGGAAUUACUGGGCGUAAAGGGCGCGUAGGCGGUCCUUCAAGUCAGGCGUGAAAGCCCCGGGCUCAACCUGGGAACCGCGCUUGAGACUGGCGGGCUAGAGUUCGGGAGAGGAUGGUGGAAUUCCCAGUGUAGAGGUGAAAUUCGUAGAUAUUGGGAAGAACACCGAUGGCGAAGGACAGCCAUCUGGACCGACGACGUGACGCUGAGGCCGCGAAAGCGUGGGGAGCAAACAGG